CAAUCAUGCACUUAACUACCAAAAAGAGUAAACUCCUCUCAGAGACUUCUUAAUACAAUUCAGUGCAAAUAAAAUACAUUUGCUGUUUCAUGUAGCAUGAGAAAUCCCAAGUCCUUCUGUUCCUUUACUGAAAAGUAGCUGUUUGUAAGUAAGAUCUGCAUCAUAAAAACUUUCUAAAUCCCUAAGUAAGAGAUAUCAAGUGCCCAGCAGUUUCCUAAAUGUCAGUCCACAUAGGUAGCCAGUCACCCUCAAAAAGUCCAGCAGUUUUAUCAGGAAGGAAUCUAAAGAUAUAUAUCUUCCAAGCUGGCUCUGGGUCUCUUAGCUUUUUCAAACUAAAUGUGUGGUCGUGGGAUUGCUUGCUUUCACAGGUUCUAAACUCUGUUUCCCUGGUCUGUUUUUCAGUAUCUCGCACCUGAGGUGCUUCAUAAGCAGCCUUAUGACAGGACCGUGGACUGGUGGUGCCUGGGAGCCGUCUUGUAUGAGAUGCUGUAUGGCUUGCCUCCUUUUUAUAGCCGAAACACAGCUGAAAUGUAUGACAACAUUCUGAACAAGCCCCUCCAGUUGAAACCAAA
This 572-nucleotide small RNA is filed under the name Pongo abelii (Sumatran orangutan). Its description in RNAcentral is "retained intron". The record is from RNAcentral. Lineage: Eukaryota; Metazoa; Chordata; Mammalia; Primates; Hominidae.